CAGUCAACGACCUUCCAUACUUCACCGUCACAUGCCGCCUCUUUCACAUUUUUAAAUAUAGCUCUCGUAUGAUAUUUAUGUUUGAAGAUUUUUUGUGUUGUUGUAUUUCAUAGGUGUCGACAACAUCCGUUGAAAGAGCCUUUUCAACAAUGACGAUUAUCAAGUCUAAAUUACGCAUUAAGAUCAACGAUGUGUGGUUCAAUGACUUGAUGGUAGAGGGAGAUAUUCAAGUCACUUAUGAUAUUGAUAUUAUUCAAACAUUCACGGCAAAGAAGUCUCGGAAAGAACAUUUGCCUCGUUGUAAGUGCUGGAAUCGGUGUUUUAAAUGUAGCAAGAAAAACAAUGGCAAGAAUGCUGGGUAAUAACAAAGUCGCUAUUUAGAGUGCAAAGAGUCAAUUUUGGGUUGUUGUUGCAAAGUGAAUACUUUGUCCUAGUAAUAUUUGAUGCUGGGGGAAUCGAUGCACCAAUUCUACAAGAAUUACUGGAUUUUAUUGAUAUUUUUAGUCCUAAUGAAAGUGAACUUGGUCGGGUCGCCUUACAGGAAUGCCAACCGAAAGUUUUGAAGACAUUACGCAGGCUGCUCUGAAAUGCCAUAAAUUGUAAGUUCAAGUAGUACCGUAGGGAUAGAGCAGUGGAACAAAGACAAUGUGUGGAAUUGGUGGAGUUGUCAUUGGAACACAACAAGCUUGUUCGGCCUCUUCUUGACUUCAGGAUUUUGAGUUAAAUGGUUUUUGUGAAUUUGUUUGGACUUCAUGUAAAGUAUAUGAUUUUGUUAAUUGUUCUUUGCUUCAAAUAUCUAAUCAGUUUUGUUAGUUGUUGUCAACUAGUGAAUACA
This is a long non-coding RNA of Vicia villosa (hairy vetch), 835 nucleotides long. RefSeq lists it as uncharacterized. The record is from RefSeq and is a predicted model, not a curated record. Lineage: Eukaryota; Viridiplantae; Streptophyta; Magnoliopsida; Fabales; Fabaceae. The transcript has 4 exons.